AGUGCCAGCAGCCGCGGUAAUACGAAGGUCCCAAGCGUUGUUCGGAAUUACUGGGCGUAAAGCGUGCGUAGGUGGCAUGGUAAGUCAGAUGUGAAAUCCCGGGGCUCAACCCCGGAACUGCAUCCGAUACUGCCAAGCUAGAGUAGUGGAGGGGAGUCUGGAAUUCACGGUGUAGCAGUGAAAUGCGUAGAUAUCGUGAGGAACACUAGUGGCGAAGGCGAGACUCUGGACAUUAACUGACACUGAGGCACGAAGGCUAGGGUAGCGAAAGGGAUUAGAUACCCCUGUAGUCCUAGCAGUAAACGGUGCGCGUUUGGUGUGGGCGGGUUCGACCCCGUCCGUGCCGAAGCUAACGCGUUAAACGCGCCGCCUGGGGAGUACGGCCGCAAGGCUAAAACUCAAAGAAAUUGACGGGGACCCGCACAAGCGGUGGAGUAUGUGGCUUAAUUCGAUGCAACGCGAAGAACCUUACCUAGGCUUGACAUGCUUGUCGUAGUUCUGUGAAAGCAGAUCGUCAGUUCGGCUGGACUUGCACAGGUGCUGCAUGGCUGUCGUCAGCUCGUGUCGUGAGAUGUUGGGUUAAGUCCCGCAACGAGCGCAACCCCUAUGAUUAGUUGCCAGCGAGUAAUGUCGGGGACUCUAGUCAGACUGCCUGUAUUAAACAGGAGGAAGGUGGGGACGACGUCAAGUCAGUAUGGCCCUUACGCCUAGGGCUGCACACGUACUACAUGCCCAGUACAUGUGAACCGAUACCGUAGGUGAGGAAUCUUAAACCUGGGCUUCAGUUCGGAUGUGGGCUGCACUCGCCACAUGAGCUGAUCGCUAGUAUGCACAUCAGCUACGGUGCGUGAUACGUUCCGGGUCUGUACCCCGCCGUCUACAUGAUGGAUGCACAAAGUAAUAGUCUACUUCGGGAGGCGUUACCGGGUGUUCUGACUGGUAGUGUAAAGAUACGGGCGCGCUCGACUAGGCAUCGGAUACAUAAUGGGGCCCCGGCAUCACUAAAGCCAUGUCUAUAGGGGUAUAUAUCUGGCGCGUUAAGCCUCAUGACUGUUCCAAUUAUCCUGGAGCUCUUCAUUGGGAAAAGAGACCGCCCUCAAGU
Molecule: ribosomal RNA, 1102 nt
Filed under: uncultured bacterium
Lineage: Bacteria
Description: bacterial SSU rRNA
Rfam family: Bacterial small subunit ribosomal RNA (bases 1-912)
Source: RNAcentral